AAGAACUUAAGUUAAAUAAACUAUUGACCUUCAAAGUCAAAUAUAUAAAAAUAAUAUUUUCUAGAUCUUA
Molecule: transfer RNA, 70 nt
Filed under: Scolytinae sp. BMNH 1040052
Lineage: Eukaryota; Metazoa; Arthropoda; Insecta; Coleoptera; Curculionidae
Description: tRNA-Trp
Source: RNAcentral